Molecule: long non-coding RNA, 935 nt
Organism: Macadamia integrifolia
Lineage: Eukaryota; Viridiplantae; Streptophyta; Magnoliopsida; Proteales; Proteaceae
Exons: 4
Source: RefSeq, a predicted model, not a curated record
UGCUCUUGGUUAAGAGUUUAUUUAGGAUGUUGAUUAUUGGAAUUUCGUUCAUAUGUAAUGCUACACAUGAGGGGAAGAUUGAAGAUUUUUAUCUGCUAUGUACAAUUCAUCAAUAGGAGAUUUUUGUUAGUGAAGAUUAUUUACCAGCUCGUGUCUUCAGUAACGAUUUUAGCUUUUGAAAGGCAACAUUAAUGAAGCGAUAUCUUAAGAUGAGGUGAUCUCUUAAGGAUCUAAGUUGCUGCCCUCCAUCUUUACCUCUUUUAAAUCAUGAUAUGGUGUUCUUGAAGAUUGGUUGUCCACCUUAUGCGAUUGAAUUAAUUCAUUUCCUUGAAGAUCGAGUUCUUCCUUUAUAUUGAAGAUCGAGUCUUCCCCUAUUGGAGAUCAAGUUCCACAAUUAUAGGAGACCAUCUGUCAUCAUUACCUGUCUGUUGCUACGGUAUUUUGGAUUGAGGUUGAUGACAUCUACUAUUUCUACGAUUUUUUUAUUCUUCCUUUUGGAGAUUGAGUCUUCCUCAGACAUUGAAGAUCAAGUCUCCUCCUCUUGAAGAUCAAGUAUUGCAUAUGUUGAUAAGGACCUAGACUUGGAGAGCAUCACUGUUGGCUAGUUGGCAGUGGUGGAGUGCAUAGAAGCCAAGGAUGAUCCCACUUGUCCGUGCACCUCAUGCCUAAUUGGAAGGUUUUCCAUAACCAAAAGAAUCAGAGCAAGGAGAGAAGGAGGAGAAGAAGAAGGAGAAGGAAAGAGAAAAGAAGGUUGCUCAUGCUUUAUGGGAUUAGCUGAUCCAGCAAUCUACAUAGUAGAUGGAGACACCAAUGAGCAGCCAGGUUGUAGGUUGGAGACCUCCAAGAUUGCCAGUGACACUUUGUGUGCCACAUUAUCAUGUAGGGUAAUACCAGUUUGUGUAUGAUUUUAUCUUAUGUAAAUUGAUUACUCGUGA